Molecule: ribosomal RNA, 497 nt
Filed under: uncultured bacterium
Lineage: Bacteria
Description: partial 16S ribosomal RNA
Rfam family: Bacterial small subunit ribosomal RNA
Source: RNAcentral
GAUGAACGCUGGCGGCGUGCUUAAUACAUGCAAGUCGAGCGAACGGACGUGAAGCUUGCUUCUCUCGGGUUAGCAGCGGACGAGGGAGUAACACUUGGAUAGCCUCCAUAUAUGAGUGGGGUAACUUCUAGAAACCGGAGCUAAUACCGCAUAAACGAUUUAACCGCAUGGGUAGAAAGUGUAAGACGGUCUUGCUGUCGAUUAAAGAGGUAUCCGCGUUGCAUUAGCUAGUUGGUAAGGUAACGGCUUACCAAGGCAACGAUGCAUAGCCGGCCUGAGAGGGUGAUCGGCCACACUGGAACUGAGACACGGUCCAGACUCCUACGGGAGGCAGCAGUAGGGAAUCUUGGGCAAUGGGCGCAAGCCUGACGCAGCAAUGCCGCGUGGGUGAAGAAGGCCUUCGGGUCGUAAAGCUCUGUUAUUAGGGAAGAACAUCUGUGUAUGUAUCUGUGGAUAUCUUGACGGUACCUAAUGAAUAAGCACCGGCUAACUACGUG